Long non-coding RNA from Oncorhynchus nerka (sockeye salmon), 2575 nucleotides. RefSeq lists it as uncharacterized. The record is from RefSeq and is a predicted model, not a curated record. The transcript has 2 exons. NCBI's taxonomy places the organism in Eukaryota, Metazoa, Chordata, Actinopteri, Salmoniformes, Salmonidae.
ACUAUGUACAAAAACCGCUGUAAUUGGGGGACUAUGUACAAAAACUGCUGUAAUUGGGGGGACUAUGUACAAAAACCGCUGUAAUUGGGGGGACUAUGUACAAAAACUGCUGUAAUUGGGGGGACUAUGUACAAAAACCGCUGUAAUUGGGGGGACUAUGUACAAAAACCGCUGUAAUUGGGGGACUAUGUACAAAAACUGCUGUAAUUGGGGGGACUAUGUACAAAAAAAUGCUGUAAUUGGGGGGACUAUGUACAAAAACCGCUGUAAUUGGGGGGGACUAUGUACAAAAACUGCUGUAAUUGGGGGACUAUGUACAAAAACUGCUGUAAUUGGGGGGACUAUGUACAAAAACCGCUGUAAUUGGGGGGACUAUGUACAAAAACUGCUGUAAUUUCUAAACGGUUCACCCGAUAUGGAUGAAAAUACCCUCAAAUUAAAGUCUGUACUUUAACCUCAUAGUCAUUGCUUGAUUUAAAUCCAAGCUUUUGGAGUAUAGAGCCAAAAGAAGAAAACAUGCUUCACUGUCCAAAUUAUUACAGGGGGCACUGUUUGUAAUAAGAUCUCGGUUUCACCUUGUAGUGGAAAUUUCCUGUAUUACCAAAUCAUGAGAGCAAACCACACACAAAUCAGAGUUAUCAUAAAGUCCAUCUUUAAUUAUAUGAGCUCCAUCACAACCCUGUGACUCUCAGAUCAAUUCAGUGUCUAUAAAUGAAUUCUCUGAGAGUCCUUACACAUUACAACUGAGAUCCUUUAUAGCAAAGACACACAUAGCCAGACAGCAUUGGCUAUAAAUUAUCGUUCAGCUUUGUCUCCUAAACUAUGUUCUUAUCUCGCUCUUGGUACCACUCAGGACCAAAAACAAAACCUCAUCUACUAACAUAUAUCAAAUACACCCCCUCCUGGACAAGAUCACAGAGAGACAGUGACUGGCACGCAGACAUUGUGGAGCCACCUAUCUGGUUCCCCAUUUAUCACACCAUCCCUUCACAUGAUUAAGGAAUAGUAAACAGACACAUUCACAGAUAAGACUAACCUUUCCCCUCUCUGGGGCCCAAUGUAACUUAGCCAUAGCAGGAAAGGGAUAACUGCAAACUGCAAACAGUAUUAUCCAAAAGAAGACAUUCUAAUGACAAAUAUCUCACAUAAGCAUGCAAUAAAAUGAAUAAAACAUCUUAUUUAAAAAUGUUACCGAAAUAAUUCUGAUUCUGCCACGACAACCUCAAUCAUAAUAUUGCCAAUAUCGAUCAAACCAAAUGAACCACAGAAUAAAUGAGGAUGAUCUGAUUAAAUAAUGGAUUCACAACUCCAGUCCUCAAACAUCACAGUAUCUUUUAAAUAAAGUUUGAUUUGAUUUAAAUAAUGUCACCCAUUGUUCCCCAGACAAAGGCCCAUCCUCCAGACCUGCUCUGGGGCUCCUAAGAGGGGCUGAGACCCCUGGGUCUAAUGGGUCAGCUGGAUCGGAGCCUGUCUGGAUGUCCAUGGCCCAGGAAAAGACCAGGAGUCUCCAACAGCAUCUCAGUCCAGAGACAGAGGCUGGGACAGGGAGGACAGGGGGGACAACAACGCCCCAGUACACCACAUCACCAUGGCCAGCUCCAACCCCAGCCCCACAGCCGAGAUUACAACCAACAGCUCAGCCAUCAACACAACCUCCAUCACAAUCACAGCCAAGCACAAAAACAGCCUCGCAAAAACAAACAUCAGCCCCAGUGGUACAAUCAGCAUCUCAACCAAUACCAAGCAGUAGACCAAUCCUACAGGAAAUGCAUCUGACAGCUAAACUCAAAACAUUGCCUUCAGAUCAGCCUAACACACAAACAGCAUCACAACCGACACCACAAGGAACAGCUCAACAGCUGACACAACCGUCCUCCCAACCUCACAUGCCAACCAGACCAACUCUACGAGGAGCGUCUGAGAGAUCCUCCACGUCUCUGAAGAGAGCUGAGAAGAUGCCUGUGGAGAAAUGGACAGAAAGAGCGCUCCCGACUGGGACUAUGGAGGAAUCUAGCCAUGGUCAAAUUGAGAUUCACACCUCAAAGCCUGAGAUACCUUCUUCAUCGUCAUCAUCGUCAUACCGGGGUCAGCCAACCUGGAUGGAACUUGCCAAGAGGAAAUCUCUUGCCUGGAGUGACAUGGCUAUGGACUAAGAGAAAUGCACGUGUGUGUGUGUGUGUGUGUGUGAGGGAGGUAAAGGGGUUCCUAAAGAGAGUAAGGAGAAAACUGAAAUAAAAUAGCGAUUUGUUGCUGACUGUGUUAUUUGAACCUACUGGAUUCAGAGUUUAAAACCCAUUUCCCAUUACUGUGCCUUACUCUUCUAACCAUUAAAUAUAAAACAAACUACUUAUAUUUCACUUAUAUAUCACUUAUAUUUUACUGCAUAUAACAUCACUAAACCAAGAGGUCUGGACUUUUAAGGCACAAGAGGGCAUACUCUUGUCCUGUAACUUGUUGGUUGCUGGUUCAAACUCCGCUUCAGUUUUUUCACUGCUUUUGACAUAUCAAUCCAUGCUAGAUCCCUUCGAACAACUGUCUCAAAGUGUUGUCUGGAAUAAAUAUACUGUCAAUUGUA